UCCCCGAGGAGGCAAGUGAGCGUGAGCGGUGCUUGAUACCAGCGCUGAGCUGCACAACCAAGGCAGGGAUUCGAGGCAGGGGAGCUGAACCCAGGGCUCCUUUAAAGAUCACAAGCCAGAAAAUCAGCCGCUCUUGCUUCUGGAGUAGCCUCUGUGCACGUGGUGAAGCGAGGUUGUGUGCGUGGCGGGGCUGCCUUUGCGGGGUGGGGGUGUGGAGAGCCGCCCCCCCAGCUCUCCUGGCUUGUGGGAAUGUUAUGGCAGUUUGUCCCCGAGCAGGGUUUCUGAGAAGGUGUUCCCGGGGCCCGACCUGCUAGAGGAAGUGUCUGGAGGCCCUCACAGGAAUAAUCCAGGUCGCCUUCACUGGAAAUCAGUUUGCUGAAACUAUUGAUACGCAGUUCUUAACGCUGAAGAAAAGGAGGUCCUGCGCCUUGACCACACAAGCGUGGCCCUUCCUCCAGACCCCCGCUCCGGACGCGCCCACCUAGCGUCUCCCAGGAACCAUGCGGCAGCUCAAGGGGAAGCCCAAGAAGGAGACGUCCAAGGACAAGAAGGAGCGGAAGCAGGCCAUGCAGGAGGCCCGGCAGCAGAUCACCACCGUGGUGCUGCCCACGCUGGCCGUGGUCGUGGUCCUGAUCGUGGUGUUUGUGUACGUGGCCACGCGCCCCACCAUCACCGAGUGAGGGCCCGCCCCGAGGGAGGAGGCUCGGGAGGGGAGAGCAGAAGAAGGGCCUUCAUCCGCUGCGAUUUUCCUGAUGCCGAGCUCUGAGCAGGAGCCCCCGUCUCCUCUGGUCUGUGACUUGAUUAAAGGUUCUCCACUUUUCUCGGGAGGGAAUAGGAAACGUUUUAUCAGUGAACGUGCCAUACACCUUAUGGUCCACUUCAUGUGCCUUUCAGACUUCAAAGCCGUGUGUGUGUGUGUGUGUGUGUGUGUGUGUUUCUCGCCUGCAAUCGAUGUGUAGCCCCACCUGGUGAGAGGAGGCGUCUCUGGGUCACGGAUCAGUUGGAAUCAGUGCUCACCCCAUCCCCGUUGUUUUGAACAUGACUUUCCUACACGUGUUCACAAUUUCCAAAGGGACUGUGUUUCUUCUCUGUGCUUCAUGUGAUUUGAAAUAUGUCGACUCAAAAGUGAAAUAUUUAUUUUUUGAAUAAAGGAGAUGAUAGCC
RNAcentral lists this long non-coding RNA (1163 nucleotides) under Sus scrofa (pig). RNAcentral describes it as "lncRNA (ENSSSCG00065046812.1)". The record is from RNAcentral. Lineage: Eukaryota; Metazoa; Chordata; Mammalia; Artiodactyla; Suidae.